CGAGUUUGAUCCUGGCUCAGGAUGAACUCUAGCGGCAGGCUUAACACAUGCAAGUCGAGGGGCAGCGGGGUGUAGCAAUACACUGCCGGCGACCGGCGCACGGGUGCGUAACGCGUAUGCAACCUACCCAUAACAGGGGCAUAACACUGAGAAAUUGGUACUAAUUCCCCAUAACAUUCGAAGAGGCAUCUCUUUGGGUUGAAAACUCCGGUGGUUAUGGAUGGGCAUGCGUUGUAUUAGCUAGUUGGUGGGGUAACGG
This 259-nucleotide ribosomal RNA is filed under the name uncultured bacterium. RNAcentral describes it as "partial 16S ribosomal RNA". It matches the Rfam family "Bacterial small subunit ribosomal RNA", at positions 9 to 263 of the family's 1533-position model. The record is from RNAcentral.